This 468-nucleotide ribosomal RNA is filed under the name uncultured bacterium. RNAcentral describes it as "partial 16S ribosomal RNA". It matches the Rfam family "Bacterial small subunit ribosomal RNA", at positions 28 to 507 of the family's 1533-position model. The record is from RNAcentral.
GACGAACGCUGGCGGCGUGCUUAACACAUGCAAGUCGAACGGAAAGGCCCUGCUUUUGGGGGCUGCUCGAGUGGCGAACGGGUGAGUAACACGUGAGUAACCUGCCCUUGACUUUGGGAUAACUUCAGGAAACUGGGGCUAAUACCGGAAAGGAGCUCCUGCUGCAGGGUGGGGGUUGGUAAGUUUCGGCGGUUGGGGAUGGACUCGCGGCGUAUCAGCUUGUUGGUGGGGUAGUGGAUUACCAAGGCUUUGACGGGUGGCCGGGCUGGGCGGGUGAGCGGCUAAGCUAGGAUGGGGAUACGGCACAGCCCAGUACGGUAGGCAAGGGUGGAGAAUGGUAUACUGGGGGAGGAACGAUAAUGCAGUCAAGCAACGUGGGGUAUGAGGGCCAUGGGGUUGUAUUCUGCUGCCGCUUGUGACGAAGCGUUAGUGACGGUAAUGGGUAAAGAAGCACCGGCUAACUACGUG